This 1214-nucleotide long non-coding RNA is filed under the name Triticum aestivum (bread wheat). Its description in RNAcentral is "long non-coding RNA (TAES_LNC026328)". The record is from RNAcentral. Lineage: Eukaryota; Viridiplantae; Streptophyta; Magnoliopsida; Poales; Poaceae.
CCUUUUAUCAACCUUUGAAUGGAACUAGGUAUUACUCUUUGUGAAUAUGAAGUCAAAAUUAAUAAUUAAUAAAGGUAAAAUAUACCUUUUAUGUUUAUUCACAGUUGUCAUCACGAAGGUUGCUGAGUUUUUUUGUGCUCACAGACCCUGAUCAGUUCUACUAGAGCAUUGUAAUUAACAAUCACCCGCAGUUGAUUUCAUGACCGGUGGGCUUUCAGCAAAUAAACAAUCAGAAGGAAUCAAUACGAAUAUAACCCGUUGAGUUCAACAUCCUCCAAUAAUAUAAUCAUGCCUCGAUUGGAAUUAGUACUACAAUAUAUAACAUCUUCUUUUUGUAGUUUUUUAUUUAUAUGUGUCUAUAUGGUUUUCCAUGAAAAUCCAAAAGGGCCUCGAAGUGUUGGAGCUUGGAUCUGGGGGGUGCAUUGGUGAGCCAUCCCUUCUCCUUCACUGGCUUCUCUAGUUUUUUUGUGCAUAUCAUGCCUUGAUUUGUGCUCAGUUGGUGUGAAAUGUGCAAGCAAAGCUAUGUGUGCGAUCUACUGCCUGUUAUCAUGUGUCACAAACUACUAUAAAUGCAUACUAAUGCCCCUUUAUUAUAUAUGUCUACUGCCUUUUACAUUCUCUAGGGCUAAGCCACUACUUAUUCCAGUAUACUGAAUUGCUAUUGUCUGCACUUCUAUUGUGUUUUGUUAUACCUUUUAAACAUGCACCGUAUGCCAUAGAUUGGUAUGACAAGCACAACCACUGUGAUAUGUGUGAAGAGAUGUGACGUAUCUUGAUGUUUUUACUGAACCAUUAUUAUUCUGGGUGCAUAACGAUUGUAUGGUACUGUCAUUUCUUUUAUAUCACUGUUUGCAUCACCAGGUGUUUACGCUAAAACAAGUCGGUUGCUGCAAGUCUUGCAAGAAAUUUGGGUGACAAGGCGUCUGGACGGAACUAUCUAUCCAUCUAUCUAUCUAAUAUAGUUUACUACUAUACCAUGUAAAAUCAGUGUCUCCACUACCACUAUGGCUUGGUGUGGUCAUGCUAUGAUGUUAGCGGACACGAAUGUUUAGUGAUAUGUUGAUUCAGGAAAUUUGCAUUUGGUUCAGCAUGUAGUUGGGCUCUAUGCUCUUAGGAGAUAAUGUUCUGUGAAUUCUUUUCCAACUGUUAUUGCCACAAAAUUGAAAUUUGGUAUUGACAUUAUGAAGAUUACCGUAAGUGUGAAAGAUAUUGAG